AAAUAGUAAACACCUAUACACUUCACUAAGAGAGAACCCUAUCUUCUUUUCCUCUUUCGCACUUCAACACCGUACUUGUAGCUCUUCUCCUCCAUGAAAUUAGGUCUUUCUUCUUUAAUACCUGAUAUUCGAACCUAAAGCUCUACUCCUCCUAAUGUAAUUUCAAUAAUAGUCUCACCUAAAAUUGGUUCAGAAGUUGUCGCCUACUAAAUCCCCACUCACAAGCACAUCGACAUAUACCUCUUGGCUUCUUCUUUGGGUGGGGAUGAUUUUAGAAAGAAAGUCAUGGCAGCCAAUUCUUACUUUGGAAAGACUAUUGGUGACGGGUGUGAGUACAAGGACAAGAAGAAGAAAGAUAUGUUGUUUGACAAUGAAUUUAAUGUUUUAUUUUAUUUGUAAUUUUUAUUAGUGUAAAAAAUUCUUUUGAGUGGUUAAUUAUUUACUUUGUAAAUCUAGUUAUAUAUUUUUUAAGGUCAAGACGAUUAUGUUUAUAGACAAGACUAUGAUUUUUAAGUCAAGUAGUGGUGUUAUAUUUAUUCUAAAAUUAGUUUUAUUAGAUUUGUAAAUACUUUGUAUAA
Molecule: long non-coding RNA, 578 nt
Organism: Humulus lupulus (European hop)
Lineage: Eukaryota; Viridiplantae; Streptophyta; Magnoliopsida; Rosales; Cannabaceae
Exons: 2
Source: RefSeq, a predicted model, not a curated record